GUUAUUAUCACUCAUAUCAUGUAUUCGUUGUACAGGUACAGUGCACACACAUGUUAAGUCGAAAUACGAAAUAUUGUACUAUUUGGAACUAUAAUACUCGACUACCUAACCUUCUUUCAGACUGAAAAUUACGUUCGUUUUCUCAUUGGUAAUAUGGAAAUUUCAAACACCGCACUGUUGUCGAACACUAUCCAAAUUCCUCAGCACGAAUACAGACAAGAGGCUAUAUGACAGAGGUACACCACUGUCAAUUGUAUAUAUUACGAAAGAAUGACUUUCGAAAACGCAAAAAACGCCACACUAGCGCCGCCCGCAAUCAGCUC
Rhopalosiphum maidis (corn leaf aphid) is the source of this 323-nucleotide long non-coding RNA. RefSeq lists it as uncharacterized. Lineage: Eukaryota; Metazoa; Arthropoda; Insecta; Hemiptera; Aphididae. The record is from RefSeq and is a predicted model, not a curated record. The transcript has 3 exons.